This 465-nucleotide ribosomal RNA is filed under the name Vreelandella stevensii. Its description in RNAcentral is "partial 16S ribosomal RNA". It matches the Rfam family "Bacterial small subunit ribosomal RNA", at positions 338 to 795 of the family's 1533-position model. The record is from RNAcentral. Lineage: Bacteria; Pseudomonadati; Pseudomonadota; Gammaproteobacteria; Oceanospirillales; Halomonadaceae.
CCUACGGGUGGCAGCAGUGGGGAAUAUUGGACAAUGGGCGAAAGCCUGAUCCAGCCAUGCCGCGUGUGUGAAGAAGGCCUUCGGGUUGUAAAGCACUUUCAGUGGGGAAGAAAGCCUUGGGGCUAAUACCCUCGAGGAAGGACAUCACCCACAGAAGAAGCACCGGCUAACUCCGUGCCAGCAGCCGCGGUAAUACGGAGGGUGCGAGCGUUAAUCGGAAUUACUGGGCGUAAAGCGCGCGUAGGCGGUCUGAUAAGCCGGUUGUGAAAGCCCCGGGCUCAACCUGGGAACGGCAUCCGGAACUGUUAGGCUAGAGUGCAGGAGAGGAAGGUAGAAUUCCCGGUGUAGCGGUGAAAUGCGUAGAGAUCGGGAGGAAUACCAGUGGCGAAGGCGGCCUUCUGGACUGACACUGACGCUGAGGUGCGAAAGCGUGGGUAGCAAACAGGAUUAGAUACCCUAGUAGUC